AUGGCAGAACAGACUGAGAAGGCUUUCCUGAAGCAGCCUAAGGUGUUCCUCUGCUCAAAGAAGACCACAAAGGGGAAUAAUAAGCCUGGCAAGGAGGGCAGCAGGUUCUGGAAGAGUGUUGGCCUUGGUUUCAAGACUCCCAAGGAAGCCAUUGAGGGAACCUACAUUGAUAAGAAGUGCCCAUUCACUGGCACUGUGUCAGUUAGAGGUCGCAUCAUUGCUGGAACAUGUCAUAGUGCUAAAAUGAACAGGACCAUCAUUGUUCGUAGGAACUACCUUCACUAUGUCAAAAAAUACCAGAGGUAUGAGAAGAGGCACUCCAACAUCCCUGCCCACAUUUCCCCUUGCUUCCGUGUGAGAGAAGGAGAUCACGUGAUCAUUGGCCAGUGCAGGCCGCUGUCCAAGACGGUGCGGUUCAAUGUGUUGAAGGUGGUCCCAGCAGGGUCAAAGAGUGGUGCGGUGAAGAAGGCGUUCACCGGUGCGUGA
Molecule: ribosomal RNA, 486 nt
Filed under: Triticum aestivum (bread wheat)
Lineage: Eukaryota; Viridiplantae; Streptophyta; Magnoliopsida; Poales; Poaceae
Description: partial small subunit ribosomal RNA
Source: RNAcentral